Molecule: ribosomal RNA, 253 nt
Filed under: uncultured bacterium
Lineage: Bacteria
Description: partial 16S ribosomal RNA
Rfam family: Bacterial small subunit ribosomal RNA
Source: RNAcentral
UACGAAGGGAGCUAGCGUUGUUCGGAAUAACUGGGCGUAAAGGGAGCGUAGGUGGAUGAAUACGUUAGAUGUGAAAGCCCCGGGCUCAACCUGGGAAUGGCAUUUAAUACGGUUUAUCUAGAAGGCGAGAGGGGAAAGCGGAAUGGCGAGUGGAGCAGUGAAAUGCAUUGAGAUUCGCUAGAACACCAGAGGCGAAGGCGGCUUUCUGGCUCGCCCUUGACACUAAGGCUCGAAAGCGUGGGGAGCAAACAGG